GACGAACGCUGGCGGCGUGCCUAACACAUGCAAGUGGAGCGACGAACCAGGGCUUGCCCUGGGGCCAAGCCGCGAACGGGUGAGUAACACGUGGGUAACCUGCCCCGAUGACCGGGACAACCCGAGGAACUCGGGCUAAUACCGGAUGUGGUGGACACACUUAAGUGUGUCCACUAAAGGAAGCUUCGGCCUCCGCAUUGGGAUGGCCCGCGGCCAUUAGCUAGUUGGUGGGGUAAAGCCUACCAAGGCGAACGAUGGGUAGCUGGUCUGAGAGGACGAUCAGCCACACUGGGACUGAGACACGGGCCCAGACUCCUACGGGAGGCAGCAGUGGGGAAUCUUGCGC
RNAcentral lists this ribosomal RNA (346 nucleotides) under uncultured bacterium. Its description in RNAcentral is "bacterial SSU rRNA". It matches the Rfam family "Bacterial small subunit ribosomal RNA", at positions 28 to 369 of the family's 1533-position model. The record is from RNAcentral.